RNAcentral lists this ribosomal RNA (1047 nucleotides) under Mortierella mutabilis. Its description in RNAcentral is "eukaryotic LSU rRNA". It matches the Rfam family "Eukaryotic large subunit ribosomal RNA", at positions 92 to 1001 of the family's 3401-position model. Lineage: Eukaryota; Fungi; Mortierellomycota; Mortierellomycetes; Mortierellales; Mortierellaceae. The record is from RNAcentral.
AGUGAAGCGGGGUGAGCUCAAAUUUAAAAUCUGGCUGGUUUACUAGUCCGAAUUGUAGUUUAUAGAAGCGUUUUCGGUGGCAGCCUGGGUAUAAAUCCUUUGGAAUAGGGUAUCAUAGAGGGUGAGAAUCCCGUCUUUGACCUAGUGCAUGCUACUAUGUGAUACGUUUUCAAAGAGUCGAGUUGUUUGGGAAUGCAGCUCAAAAUGGGUGGUAAAUUUCAUCUAAAGCUAAAUACAGGCGAGAGACCGAUAGCGAACAAGUACCGUGAGGGAAAGAUGAAAAGAACUUUGAAAAGAGAGUUAAACAGUGCGUGAAAUUGUUGAAAGGGAAACGUUUGACACCAGUUAUGCGGAUGGCAAAUCAGUCAAUUGCUGUAGGGAGUGGUAGGGGUUCGGACCGCAAGGCCGGCCUGUGCCUCAUUUUUGCAGUAAUUGAUGCACUUUGUCAUUUGCAGGUCAACAUCAGUUUCUUCUGCUGGACAAAACUCCAAGAGAAGGUAGCAGCUUUGGCUGUGUUAUAGCUCUGGAGCGAUACAGUGGUGGGGACUGAGGAUUUCGCAGUGUGUGCUCUCGGGCAAGGCCGACUGGGUGCUAUGGGAUCGUUCAGCGUACAAUGCAUGCAUUUUGCGCUGUGUCUUUUUCAUACUCGCUCAGCUCGGCUCUUCCACACUUAGGAUGUUGACUUAAUGGUUUUAAACGACCCGUCUUGAAACACGGACCAAGGAGUCUAACAUAUAUGCGAGUGUUUGGGUGGCAAACCCAUACGCGUAAUGAAAGUGAACGUAGGUGCGAUCCGCAAGGUGCAGCAUCGACCGAUCUUGAUAUUUUUGGAUAGAUUUGAGUAAGAGCAUAUAUGCUGGGACCCGAAAGAUGGUGAACUAUGCCUGAAUAGGGUGAAGCCAGAGGAAACUCUGGUGGAGGCUCGUAGCGAUUCUGACGUGCAAAUCGAUCGUCAAAUUUGGGUAUAGGGGCGAAAGACUAAUCGAUCAAUCUUAUACUUGUUCCUUGCUGUAUUUCCCUUCAGUAUUGCAGAAACUCGUUCAGUUU